Molecule: ribosomal RNA, 317 nt
Filed under: uncultured Acidovorax sp.
Lineage: Bacteria; Pseudomonadati; Pseudomonadota; Betaproteobacteria; Burkholderiales; Comamonadaceae
Description: bacterial SSU rRNA
Rfam family: Bacterial small subunit ribosomal RNA
Source: RNAcentral
GUCAGAGUUUGAUCCUGGCUCAGAAUGAACGCUGGCGGCAUGCCUUACACAUGCAAGUCGAACGGUAACAGGUCUUCGGAUGCUGACGAGUGGCGAACGGGUGAGUAAUACAUCGGAACGUGCCCGAUCGUGGGGAUAACGAAGCGAAAGCUUUGCUAAUACCGCAUAAGAUCUACGGAUGAAAGCAGGGGACCGCAAGGCCUUGCGCGAACGGAGCGGCCGAUGGCAGAUUAGGUAGUUGGUGGGAUAAAAGCUUACCAAGCCGACGAUCUGUAGCUGGUCUGAGAGGAUGAUCAGUCACACUGGAACUGAGACAC